Long non-coding RNA from Rattus norvegicus (Norway rat), 373 nucleotides. RefSeq lists it as uncharacterized. Lineage: Eukaryota; Metazoa; Chordata; Mammalia; Rodentia; Muridae. The record is from RefSeq and is a predicted model, not a curated record.
AACUUGAAGUUUGUAUCUAGCUAAAAGGCUAAAAGUCACCACUUAUGUCACUUCUUGGAGCUCCUGUGGGAACAAGAUGGACCGAUAAGGACAGUUCUGAAGUCCACCACCCAACUUGCAGGCCAGACAGCAAACCCAAGAUGAAUAGAAACCUGCAUUGCUAAGAACCCAUCCCAGAUUACAGGAGCUCUCCUGAUGGUGCGACCUGUGUCUCCCCCACCUUACUGGGACUCUUACGGUUUAGCGUGCCUCUCAGCAGGAGAAGCUGGUCAAGGAGAAUAGCAUAAACAGAAGUCAGAGCGGGGCUCUGAGUGUAAGUUGUCGCAGAUCUGCUACUUAGCAUCCUUUUAUAAAAAAAAAAGAUUUAUUGGUA